GGCGCUCGGUCAAUGACAGUGCAACGGAAAUUCCGUAUCUGGCGUUGUCAGUUUUCUUGGCUCUGUCCAUGGUAAACCUGGUGUUUCUGUUGAUGCAGUG
This is a small nucleolar RNA of Perognathus longimembris pacificus (Pacific pocket mouse), 100 nucleotides long. RefSeq annotates it as small nucleolar RNA SNORA8. The record is from RefSeq and is a predicted model, not a curated record. NCBI's taxonomy places the organism in Eukaryota, Metazoa, Chordata, Mammalia, Rodentia, Heteromyidae. The transcript has a single exon.